UCCAGGUUCAUUUCGAAUUGUGAAUGGUUCAGUUUUAGACCAUUGGGAUGAAAACACUUUAUCAUGGGUUGUCACUUUCCGUAGGUUGUUGAAAGAGGAAUAAAUUUCUGAGUUUCAAGGUCUUUGUCAGAUAAUAGAGUGAGUGAUCAUCCAGAUUCUCGAAUUUGGUCGGUGAAACAUGCAAAGAAAUGUUGUUUAGCUUUUGGUUGGGG
Molecule: unclassified non-coding RNA, 212 nt
Filed under: Hevea brasiliensis (rubber tree)
Lineage: Eukaryota; Viridiplantae; Streptophyta; Magnoliopsida; Malpighiales; Euphorbiaceae
Source: RNAcentral